UAGGAAAUCUUGCGCAAUGGGCGAAGGCCUGACGCAGCCAUGCCGCGUGAAUGAUGAAGGUCUUAGGAUUGUAAAAUUCUUUCACCGGGGAAGAUAAUGACGGUACCCGGAGGAGAAGCCCCGGCUAACUUCGUGCCAGCAGCCGCGGUAAUACGAAGGGGGCUAGCGUUGCUCGGAAUUACUGGGCGUAAAGGGCGCGUAGGCGGAUGUUUAAGUCGGGGGUGAAAGCCCGGGGCUCAACCUCGGAAUUGCCUUCGAUACUGGACAUCUUGAGUACGGGAGAGGUGAGUGGAACUCCGAGUGUAGAGGUGAAAUUCGUAGAUAUUCGGAAGAACACCAGUGGCGAAGGCGACUCACUGGCCCGUUACUGACGCUGAGGCGCGAAGGCGUGGGGAGCAAAACAGGAUUAGAUACCCUGGUAGUCCACGCCGUAAAACGAUGAGUGCUAGUUGUCGGCAUGCAUGCAUGUCGGUGACGCAGCUGACGCAUUAAGCACUCCGCCUGGGGAGUAC
Molecule: ribosomal RNA, 512 nt
Filed under: uncultured bacterium
Lineage: Bacteria
Description: partial 16S ribosomal RNA
Rfam family: Bacterial small subunit ribosomal RNA
Source: RNAcentral